This 1313-nucleotide long non-coding RNA is filed under the name Fukomys damarensis (Damara mole-rat). Its description in RNAcentral is "lncRNA (ENSFDAG00000031366.1)". Lineage: Eukaryota; Metazoa; Chordata; Mammalia; Rodentia; Bathyergidae. The record is from RNAcentral.
GGCCUCUCCAGUGACUGUGCUGGUCUCAGGGCCACUGAGGGGGGACACUGGGAACCUGUCCUCCCCCAGCCCAAGCUGGCCGUCUGGCAGGGGAGUUCUGGUGAGAACGUCCUACUCUCCUUCACCCUGUCCCACGGCUUCUUGGUGGAAAACCUGGAGUGCUGGCCAGCCCCAGUGCCAGCCAGGCCCUGGGUGCCAGGAAGGGAUGCCCAGCAUCUACCUGAGGACCGUACGAAGGGCCCCUCCCUGGCCAAAUGACCUGCCCAUUCUGCAUGCAGACUCUCUGAUUGGCCAACUUGCUGCCACCUGACUUGGGGCGUCCUCCUCCUGGCCACUUCCCAUGGCGGCCCUGCUGGUGCAUCAACACUGUUCUAAUGCCUUUGACCAGAAUGGCAAGGCGGCCUCCACAGGCACAGACCAAGGAGUCACACCAGUGCUCCAGCAGCCCCUCAUCUGCCCAGCGCCCGGCCGGUUCAGUACCCAGAGAUUCCUGGCGCUCAGCCUGGAUGCCCGCACCCCCAGCCUCCCAGCGGCCUCUCCUCCCUCAGCUCAGCCCUGCCGGGAGGGUGGCAUAAAGGAGCGCCGGGCGGCCGCCCACUCUCUCCAGUGGCUGCAGCUGGGAUGCAUCCUGCAGGGGCGGAGGGCAGCAGCCAUGGUGCAGAGAGCAGCCUCCAUUCCCGGCGGCCACGCAGAGAGGUGCCCAGAGUCUGCAAGUACUUCCAGCGUGGCCUCUGCUUCCAUGGAGACAGAUGCAGGUAGGCGCCUCUCUCCCCGGCCGGGAGGGUGCAGGUAAUGCCGGGCAGGGGUCAUCUGUGUCCUCGCCCUUCUGUCCCUGCAGCUAUCAGCACCUGGUGCCCGCCAGUCCCCUGGAGUGGGGCCGCCGCUAUUCCGAGCCACUUGUGGCUGUGCCGGGCCAGUGGCCAGGCCUGACCCGCAGGGCCUCCGAGCCCACUUUCCCACACCCCAUAGUUGUGGAGUGGGGCCAGGCCUGGCUAGGGGCCCACUGGGGCAUGGAGCUUGGCCUGGAGGAGGCUGGAGGCAGCUCUUGGAGGUCCCCAUCUUCAUCGCCGGCUGCCUGGGAGCACAGCCCCGCCGAGAAGCCUCCACUCGCGGCCGACCUUGUCCAGGAGCUCUCGGGCGCCCUUCAGAGCCUGGACCUGGCAGAGGUACCAUGCCGGGAGGGCGGGCUGGGUCUGGGGCCGUGGCGGGAGGUGUCCGACCCGCCCUGUGGCUGCAGGGCUCGCACGACAGCGACAGCCGGGACGUGGUGUGCGGCAUCUGCAGGGAGAGAGUGUGGGACAAGCCCGCGGCCG